UAUUAGUUGCGUUAGGGAUUGAAAUGAAAAUCCUUUUUUGAGGUACGAAGAAAAGAUUGUAAUGUAAAGCCCGACCCUUG
This 80-nucleotide small RNA is filed under the name Flavivirga aquatica. RNAcentral's name for it is "Algibacter sp. SK-16 Flavo-1 RNA". It matches the Rfam family "Flavo-1 RNA". The record is from Rfam by way of RNAcentral. Lineage: Bacteria; Pseudomonadati; Bacteroidota; Flavobacteriia; Flavobacteriales; Flavobacteriaceae.